GAGGCGGCGUGGGGGCUAAUACAUGCAAUGUCGAACGCACUCUCGUUUAGAUUGAAGGAGCUUGCUCCUGAUUGAUAAACAUUUGAGUGAGUGGCGGACGGGUGAGUAACACGUGGGUAACCUGCCCUAAAGUGGGGGAUAACAUUUGGAAACAGAUGCUAAUACCGCAUAAAACCUAACACCGCAUGGUGUAGGGUUGAAAGAUGGUUUCGGCUAUCACUUUAGGAUGGACCCGCGGUGCAUUAGUUAGUUGGUGAGGUAAAGGCUCACCAAGACCGUGAUGCAUAGCCGACCUGAGAGGGUAAUCGGCCACACUGGGACUGAGACACGGCCCAGACUCCUACGGGAGGCAGCAGUAGGGAAUCUUCCACAAUGGACGAAAGUCUGAUGGAGCAACGCCGCGUGAGUGAAGAAGGUUUUCGGAUCGUAAAACUCUGUUGUUGGAGAAGAAUGUAUCUGAUAGUAACUGAUCAGGUAGUGACGGUAUCCAACCAGAAAGCCACGGCUAACUACGUGCCAGCAGCCGCGGUAAUACGUAGGUGGCAAGCGUUGUCCGGAUUUAUUGGGCGUAAAGCGAGCGCAGGCGGUUUCUUAAGUCUGAUGUGAAAGCCUUCGGCUCAACCGAAGAAGUGCAUCGGAAACUGGGAAACUUGAGUGCAGAAGAGGACAGUGGAACUCCAUGUGUAGCGGUGAAAUGCGUAGAUAUAUGGAAGAACACCAGUGGCGAAGGCGGCUGUCUGGUCUGUAACUGACGCUGAGGCUCGAAAGCAUGGGUAGCAAACAGGAUUAGAUACCCUGGUAGUCCAUGCCGUAAACGAUGAGUGCUAGGUGUUGGAGGGUUUCCGCCCUUCAGUGCCGCAGCUAACGCAUUAAGCACUCCGCCUGGGGAGUACGACCGCAAGGUUGAAACUCAAAGGAAUUGACGGGGGCCCGCACAAGCGGUGGAGCAUGUGGUUUAAUUCGAAGCAACGCGAAGAACCUUACCAGGUCUUGAAAUCCUUUGACCACUCUAGAAAAGAAACUUUUCCCUUCGGGGAAAAAAUGGACAGGUGGUGCAUGGUUGUCCUCAGCCCCGGUCCGGGAAAAUGUUGGGUUAAGUCCCCCAACAAACGCAACCCUUUUUCAAUUUUGCCACCUUUAUUGGGGCCCCCUUUGGAAACUCCCGGGAAAAACCCCGAGAGAGGGGGGGGAAAAACCAAAUCUUUUGCCCUUUUAACCCGGGGGCCCACCCGGUUCAAAGGGUGGGGCAACAAAUUUGAAACCCCGGGGGUUUCCAAC
Molecule: ribosomal RNA, 1278 nt
Filed under: Latilactobacillus sakei
Lineage: Bacteria; Bacillati; Bacillota; Bacilli; Lactobacillales; Lactobacillaceae
Description: bacterial SSU rRNA
Rfam family: Bacterial small subunit ribosomal RNA
Source: RNAcentral